This is a non-coding RNA of Lasiosphaeria hispida, 105 nucleotides long. Lineage: Eukaryota; Fungi; Ascomycota; Sordariomycetes; Sordariales; Lasiosphaeriaceae. The record is from the annotation of a GenBank genome assembly.
GGUCGCAUGGUGUAGUUGGUUAUCACGUCAGCUUAACAAAUCUGAUGAUAUUCUCAGGUUGAUCAGUUUCGCUGAAGGUCCUCAGUUCAAUCCUGAGUGCGAUCA